GACGAACCACACAAACGUUAUUCGGAAUUACUGGGCUUAAAGGGCGCGUAGGCGGCGCGGAUAGUCGGCGGUGAAAGCCCGGAGCUCAACUCCGGGUCGGCCGUCGAUACUUCCGGGCUUGAGCACUGUAGAGGCAGAUGGAAUUCCGGGUGUAGCGGUGGAAUGCGUAGAGAUCCGGAAGAACACCGGUGGCGAAGGCGGUCUGCUGGGCAGUUGCUGACGCUGAUGCGCGACAGCGUGGGGAGCAAACAGG
Molecule: ribosomal RNA, 253 nt
Filed under: uncultured bacterium
Lineage: Bacteria
Description: partial 16S ribosomal RNA
Rfam family: Bacterial small subunit ribosomal RNA
Source: RNAcentral